UUGGGGAAUCUGACCGUGUGCUGU
This 24-nucleotide non-coding RNA is filed under the name Arabidopsis thaliana (thale cress). The record is from RNAcentral. Lineage: Eukaryota; Viridiplantae; Streptophyta; Magnoliopsida; Brassicales; Brassicaceae.